RNAcentral lists this long non-coding RNA (1065 nucleotides) under Capsicum annuum. Its description in RNAcentral is "long non-coding RNA (CANN_LNC001930)". The record is from RNAcentral. Lineage: Eukaryota; Viridiplantae; Streptophyta; Magnoliopsida; Solanales; Solanaceae.
CUGCAAGUAUCUCUUUCUUGAACAUCCUCCGGUGUAAUUCCUUUUAUGUUGCACUGCCACUUCAGUCCACUGAUUAAUGGCCUGCCGUACUUCCUUUAUCCAUCAACAUUCUUCGAACAAGUGGAUCCUAGUCUCCAACACUAUAGUGCCUCAGGCAGACAACACUCAGGAUUAUCUACCUGAAUGUUUAGUCUAAGUUUGUCAACAGUCAUCCUGAUAAAGCUACUGAUGACCAAAUCAAUUCUGCACCUUAUGGCCACCCUAAUUUUUGAAGACAUAAUCGGAGGGCUUCACUUAAAGGUUCAACACUUGGUUACCCCAAGGGCACAAGAAUAUGCAAGGAAGACUCGCUUUGAGCACAAGCAAGGUCGUGUGUGGAAGAUUGCUUGGAGCAUCGAAGACUGGUUUUGGAUAACACUUAAUGGGUCACGGUUUGAUCAUUUUCAUUAAGUCCAAAUACACUCUAUGGCCACCCCUCCCUUUAAGGUCAUUAUUGUCAUUUUGUCUUAUCUUGUAAUAGAAUAUAAAUAGGAUAUUUUAGGUUUUUUCUCUUGGGUUGUUCAUGGAUGUAAGACUUGAAACAUGAAAUACCUUUAGUUGUAGGGCUUGGAAUAGCCACCACACCGAAAUGAGAGCAACAAGUGUGAAUAUCACUUGUGUUGCAAUGUUGGCUUGAGACGUUGGUGUUUAGAGGAGGUAAAGUUUCUCUUGUGUCAACAUAGGAGAUAGGUUUAUUGUUGUUUGUAGUGUUAAGGUUCCAAGAGUCCAUUCUUGGGUUCUUAAGACUAUACCUUUAUGUGGUCUAUCUAUCUAUUCUUUGUUUUGUUGUAAUCGUUGUUUCUUGUUUCUUGUUCUUGUUAAUGUAACUUGUGAGGUGUUGUUAUUGUUACCACCUUGUUGCCUUUCAUCUUGUAUUCAUAUUAUUUGUUGCUAAAUCUAGUUUGGGUGGCUGCCUUGCUGUUAAAUCUCACCCUUAUAUCUCGUUAUUGUGUUGUAUUAUUGAAUCUGAGUGUGGUCUUCAAAAGGAUCCUCGGAUCUUUAAUCUUGUGAACUGAUUUUGAAGUG